Molecule: non-coding RNA, 207 nt
Organism: Pelobates cultripes (western spadefoot toad)
Lineage: Eukaryota; Metazoa; Chordata; Amphibia; Anura; Pelobatidae
Source: the annotation of a GenBank genome assembly
ACACUAACAGCACCCUCACACACACAGCACACAAAUAGCACACUCACACACAAACAGCACCCUCACACACAGCACACUAACAGUACCCUCACAUACACACAACACCCAUACACAGCACACAAACAGUACCCUCACAAACAAACAUCACCCACACACUGCACCCUCACACAGCACACGACACCCACACACAGCACACUAACAGUACCC